This 1952-nucleotide long non-coding RNA is filed under the name Jatropha curcas. RNAcentral describes it as "long non-coding RNA (JCUR_LNC002487)". Lineage: Eukaryota; Viridiplantae; Streptophyta; Magnoliopsida; Malpighiales; Euphorbiaceae. The record is from RNAcentral.
UCUAUGUUACCUACAUCACCCAUAGGUUGCCGGAAGCCAUUGCCAUCAUUCACAUCCCCAAUCCGCAGGCUAGAAUUCAACGGUGAUGACUCAUUUUCUUUUCUUCUAUACCUUUCGGGGUUGCCAGAUGCAGAAUGUUGAAAGUGUUCUGGUUCUGCCUCUUUCCUUGCUAAUGCUGCCUUAAGGCUAGCAAUCUAGGAAGGGGGAAAGGAAUCAAAUGUUUAAUACAGUGUACCCUGAAGUUAAAGUAUGAUUAAGACAGCUAUGAUGGAAAAUGUAAAGGAGACAAAGGAAAUGACUAACUUCUUCUUUGAGCUCUUUGAUAUCUGCUGCACUAUCUUUGUUCACUCGAGCUGCUCCUAGUUCAACAGUGGCUACACGUUGUGCAAAAUUAAGUGUACUUAUUGUUUCUCCAAUUGCUUCAGGCUCCGGGCUUAUGUGGACAAACAUUAAUGUCUUUGCCUGUCCUCCUGAAACAAGAAUCACAAAUCACAAUCAUAAUCAUUUUUAUUGGAAAAAAAGGGGAAAACAAAACAAAUACUGAAAUUUGAACAAUGUGUUACUUUGACCUUACCAAGUGAGUCUUGGAGCAGUUGUGUAACUAAAAAUUCCUACUUUCUAUUUGCAGUUCUGCGUUUCAUAUCAACAGGGGCUGGCUGCCUUCCAUUCCGGUGCAAAGGAGCAUUAACUCCAUUUUUUCGUGAUGGCGAAGGGCCUAGCAUAGGAUUCAAGUUCUUGCUGCAAAACAAAUGUUAACAACUCUGUUAAACAUUAGAAUUUAACAUGUAAGUGUAGACCAAAACAAAGAGCACAUCUGAAGUACCUCAAAUCUGGACUUUUAGUUGCUUUUGAAUUUGGCUUCUUUGUCUUUGACUCAAUUCCAUUGGCUAUGCCAGAAAAUUUGGACUGAUUGAAUUGCCACAGCAAAUCAGGUUCUGAUGAAUCACUAGUGCCGGCAUCAAGAUCAUCCAUAUCAUCAGUACUACUAAUGUUGAACCGGUUGUUACCCCCAUAAAUAUUGUAGGAUUGUUCAGAGUAAAUUUUUGUAGGAUCUGAAAGAUACUUCUGGUAAAAGACAUCAGGCAAAUUACCAUUGUCUGCUUCCCAACUUCCUAAUGGAUUCUCAACUCUGUUUAUAGCAUCUUGCUUGUUCACCAUGACUUUAUCGACCCAUUCACCUGAUCCCACUUCCUUCUCAUCUUCCCUAUAAUUUUUGCUAGGACUAACAACUGGAGGCCAUGGAGGUGAAUUUGCUAACAGCUCAUCGAGAUCAAAACUUUGCCUUUUUUGCCUCAAUGUAGCGUUUGUAUGAACCUGUAUAUGCAGCACAUCAGUGUUUAAAAAAACCUAAGUACUUACUGACUAGGAAGGUUUUUCCCCAUCCAUGCCAACUCUCAACAAUCUUUUUCUCAUAAUAUAGUUUUAUUAUCUAUACAUAGCAUUAUCUAUAAUGUGAAGUACAAAAUGCUAAUAUUUUGCUCAAUUCACACCCAUGAUGCCUAGACAUCUACAAUGUGAAAUACAAAAGUACCAUAAUAUGAAGUAACCCUCAAAUAUUUCGAUACGAUUGAUAGAUAUGCAAAAUGAAAUGAGGUGAAGUCUGCCUCAACCAGAUUGAAGAUGGUCAUAAUUUCAGUUAGCUACUUUGAAUGCGAUGUUUUUCUACAAUAGUGUAACUUUCAUAUUGCAAAAAUACAUGAUUAUGUACUUAUAAUUAUACAAGUGUCAAUCAGCAAUCUUUAAGAAAAAUUAUGACUAAUGAUGAUAGGAUAGCAAGAUUCACCUCUAUGUUACCUACAUCACCCAUAGGUUGCCGGAAGCCAUUGCCAUCAUUCACAUCCCCAAUCCGCAGGCUAGAAUUCAACGGUGAUGACUCAUUUUCUUUUCUUCUAUACCUUUCGGGGUUGCCAGAUGCAGAAUGUUGAAAGUGUUCUGGUUCUGCCUCUUUCCUU